RNAcentral lists this ribosomal RNA (672 nucleotides) under Escherichia coli. Its description in RNAcentral is "partial 23S ribosomal RNA". It matches the Rfam family "Bacterial large subunit ribosomal RNA", at positions 518 to 1191 of the family's 2925-position model. Lineage: Bacteria; Pseudomonadati; Pseudomonadota; Gammaproteobacteria; Enterobacterales; Enterobacteriaceae. The record is from RNAcentral.
AAAGAACCCCGGCGAGGGGAGUGAAAAAGAACCUGAAACCGUGUACGUACAAGCAGUGGGAGCACGCUUAGGCGUGUGACUGCGUACCUUUUGUAUAAUGGGUCAGCGACUUAUAUUCUGUAGCAAGGUUAACCGAAUAGGGGAGCCGAAGGGAAACCGAGUCUUAACUGGGCGUUAAGUUGCAGGGUAUAGACCCGAAACCCGGUGAUCUAGCCAUGGGCAGGUUGAAGGUUGGGUAACACUAACUGGAGGACCGAACCGACUAAUGUUGAAAAAUUAGCGGAUGACUUGUGGCUGGGGGUGAAAGGCCAAUCAAACCGGGAGAUAGCUGGUUCUCCCCGAAAGCUAUUUAGGUAGCGCCUCGUGAAUUCAUCUCCGGGGGUAGAGCACUGUUUCGGCAAGGGGGUCAUCCCGACUUACCAACCCGAUGCAAACUGCGAAUACCGGAGAAUGUUAUCACGGGAGACACACGGCGGGUGCUAACGUCCGUCGUGAAGAGGGAAACAACCCAGACCGCCAGCUAAGGUCCCAAAGUCAUGGUUAAGUGGGAAACGAUGUGGGAAGGCCCAGACAGCCAGGAUGUUGGCUUAGAAGCAGCCAUCAUUUAAAGAAAGCGUAAUAGCUCACUGGUCGAGUCGGCCUGCGCGGAAGAUGUAACGGGGCUAAACCAUG